UUAAAUUGAAGAGUUUGAUCAUGGCUCAGAUUGAACGCUGGCGGCAGGCCUAACACAUGCAAGUCGAACGGUAACAGGAAGCAGCUUGCUGCUUCGCUGACGAGUGGCGGACGGGUGAGUAAUGUCUGGGAAACUGCCUGAUGGAGGGGGAUAACUACUGGAAACGGUGGCUAAUACCGCAUAACGUCGCAAGACCAAAGAGGGGGACCUUCGGGCCUCUUGCCAUCAGAUGUGCCCAGAUGGGAUUAGCUAGUUGGUGAGGUAACGGCUCACCAAGGCGACGAUCCCUAGCUGGUCUGAGAGGAUGACCAGCCACACUGGAACUGAGACACGGUCCAGACUCCUACGGGAGGCAGCAGUGGGGAAUAUUGCACAAUGGGCGCAAGCCUGAUGCAGCCAUGCCGCGUGUAUGAAGAAGGCCUUCGGGUUGUAAAGUACUUUCAGCGGGGAGGAAGGUGUUGUGGUUAAUAACCACAGCAAUUGACGUUACCCGCAGAAGAAGCACCGGCUAACUCCGUGCCAGCAGCCGCGGUAAUACGGAGGGUGCAAGCGUUAAUCGGAAUUACUGGGCGUAAAGCGCACGCAGGCGGUCUGUCAAGUCGGAUGUGAAAUCCCCGGGCUCAACCUGGGAACUGCAUUCGAAACUGGCAGGCUUGAGUCUUGUAGAGGGGGGUAGAAUUCCAGGUGUAGCGGUGAAAUGCGUAGAGAUCUGGAGGAAUACCGGUGGCGAAGGCGGCCCCCUGGACAAAGACUGACGCUCAGGUGCGAAAGCGUGGGGAGCAAACAGGAUUAGAUACCCUGGUAGUCCACGCCGUAAACGAUGUCUACUUGGAGGUUGUGCCCUUGAGGCGUGGCUUCCGGAGCUAACGCGUUAAGUAGACCGCCUGGGGAGUACGGCCGCAAGGUUAAAACUCAAAUGAAUUGACGGGGGCCCGCACAAGCGGUGGAGCAUGUGGUUUAAUUCGAUGCAACGCGAAGAACCUUACCUGGUCUUGACAUCCACGGAAGUUUUCAGAGAUGAGAAUGUGCCUUCGGGAACCGUGAGACAGGUGCUGCAUGGCUGUCGUCAGCUCGUGUUGUGAAAUGUUGGGUUAAGUCCCGCAACGAGCGCAACCCUUAUCCUUUGUUGCCAGCGAUUAGGUCGGGAACUCAAAGGAGACUGCCAGUGAUAAACUGGAGGAAGGUGGGGAUGACGUCAAGUCAUCAUGGCCCUUACGACCAGGGCUACACACGUGCUACAAUGGCGCAUACAAAGAGAAGCGACCUCGCGAGAGCAAGCGGACCUCAUAAAGUGCGUCGUAGUCCGGAUUGGAGUCUGCAACUCGACUCCAUGAAGUCGGAAUCGCUAGUAAUCGUGGAUCAGAAUGCCACGGUGAAUACGUUCCCGGGCCUUGUACACACCGCCCGUCACACCAUGGGAGUGGGUUGCAAAAGAAGUAGGUAGCUUAACCUUCGGGAGGGCGCUUACCACUUUGUGAUUCAUGACUGGGGUGAAGUCGUAACAAGGUAACCGUAGGGGAACCUGCGGUUGGAUCACCUCCUUACCUUAAAGAA
This 1554-nucleotide ribosomal RNA is filed under the name Salmonella enterica subsp. enterica. RNAcentral's name for it is "bacterial SSU rRNA". It matches the Rfam family "Bacterial small subunit ribosomal RNA". The record is from RNAcentral. Lineage: Bacteria; Pseudomonadati; Pseudomonadota; Gammaproteobacteria; Enterobacterales; Enterobacteriaceae.